CACAUUUUCAAUCUGAAAACUUACUCAAGCUCCUGAAUCUUGAGUGCCCUUAAGAAGAUACCUCUUGGGGCGCCUGGGUGGCGCAGUCGGUUAAGCGUCUGACUUCAGCCAGGUCACGAUCUCGCGGUCCGUGAGUUCGAGCCCCGCGUCAGGCUCUGGGCUGAUGGCUCAGAGCCUGGAGCCUGUUUCCGAUUCUGUGUCUCCCUCUCUCUCUGCCCCUCCCCCGUUCAUGCUCUGUCUCUCUCCGUCCCAAAAAUAAAUAAACGUUUGAAAAAAAAAAUUAAAAAAAAAAAAGAAGAUACCUCUUUAUAACUGUUAGCAACAAUGCUAACAUUGCUAACAUUAAUGUCUUAUAUACACAGAAGUAAGUAAUACUUUUUAAAAUAAAUAAAUUACUGUAUAAAAUAUUUAAUGUUAUAGAACUAUCCUCAAUUGCCUCCCAGAGACCUAGACCCAGUCAAUGUUUUCCCAAAUUAGAAAUGGUUGGGACCUGAGAGGUAAACCCUCUAACUCUCUUAUUUUACAGUUGAGAAAAUGGAGAUGAGAGAAAAUAGGCUUUCUUCUCUUUUCUGGCUCAUGUCAAAUGUUUAUUGCCCAGUGCCCUCCAAGUUCACAAAUCAUUGACAACACAGCAGAACUGUGAAGAAAACUGCUGAGCCAUGGACAUGAAUUCAGAACACUCAAGCUUGAACCCACUUCUAUACCUCUCCACCUGCAGGCGUACUGAAGCUGCAAUACUACAGGAAUGGCCCAGAAGGAAGGAGCCCAGAGCAACAGAACCCUGUAUGGAGGAGAGGCUUCAGCAGUGCUGGUGGUGAAUGGUUGUGACCUGGAGUGAGAAGAUCCAUAGAGUCUACAAGGCACUCAAGAUCAUGGACAGAGGGACCUCAGCAUUCAGUAAAAGAGUGGGGAAUCCAACAGCUGGCUGAAAUCCAUCCUAUAAAUGAAAGAAUGACAGAAAGAAAGCACAAGUUUCCUCAAGACCAUCCAGAAAAGAGUCAGAGAAACCAACUAAUCCAACAGCUUCACUACUAGUGGAACAGCUGGCAUGAUGAGACUUCCAACUUGCUGCAACAGAGAGCCACACAGGAAACACAG
Molecule: long non-coding RNA, 1098 nt
Filed under: Felis catus (domestic cat)
Lineage: Eukaryota; Metazoa; Chordata; Mammalia; Carnivora; Felidae
Description: lncRNA (ENSFCAG00000043210.2)
Source: RNAcentral